UUUUUGAAAAUAAUAAAAAGUCUAAUCUGCCCACUGAAUUUAUUUAAAGGGCUGCAGUAUACUGACUGUACAAAGGUAGCAUAAUCAAUAGUCUUUUAAUUGAAGACUUGUAUGAAUGAUUUGAUGAAAUAUGAACUGUCUCUUUUUUAAAAAUAAAAUUUAAUUUUUUAGUUAAAAAGCUAAAAUAAUUAUAAAAGACGAGAAGACCCUAUAGAGUUUUAUAGUUACUUAAUUUAAAAAUUUUAUAUAUAAUUUAAAUUUAAAAUUAAUUAAUUAUUUUAUUGGGGUGAUAGAAAAAUUAAAAAAACUUUUUUUAAAAAUUUAACAUUAAUUUAUGAAAUUAUGAUCCAUAAUUUAUGAUUAAAAGAAUCAAUUACCUUAGGGAUAACAGCGUAAUUUUUUUUUUUAGUACAAAUAAGAAAAAGAGUUUGCGACCUCGAUGUUGGAUUAAGAUAAAAUUUAAAUGCAAAAGUUUAAAAUUUUUGAUCUGUUCGAUCAUUAAAAUCUUACAUGAUCUGA
The sequence is a ribosomal RNA, 519 nucleotides long. The stretch from base 384 to 519 matches the Rfam family "Bacterial large subunit ribosomal RNA", at positions 2473 to 2608 of the family's 2925-position model.